Molecule: ribosomal RNA, 433 nt
Filed under: uncultured bacterium
Lineage: Bacteria
Description: partial 16S ribosomal RNA
Rfam family: Bacterial small subunit ribosomal RNA
Source: RNAcentral
CCCUCCCUCUGGCGGCAGGCCUAACACAUGCAAGUCGAGCGAGGACUUCGGUCCUAGCGGCGGACGGGUGAGUAACGCGUGGGAACGUGCCCUUUGCUUCGGAAUAGCCCUGGGAAACUGGGAGUAAUACCGGAUGAGCCCUUUGGGGGAAAGAUUUAUCGGCGAAGGAUCGGCCCGCGUUGGAUUAGGUAGUUGGUGGGGUAAUGGCCUACCAAGCCGACGAUCCAUAGCUGGUUUGAGAGGAUGAUCAGCCACACUGGGACUGAGACACGGCCCAGACUCCUACGGGAGGCAGCAGUGGGGAAUCUUAGACAAUGGGGGAAACCCUGAUCUAGCCAUGCCGCGUGAGCGAUGAAGGCCUUAGGGUUGUAAAGCUCUUUCAGCUGGGAAGAUAAUGACGGUACCAGCAGAAGAAGCCCCGGCUAACUCCGUG